Molecule: ribosomal RNA, 254 nt
Filed under: uncultured bacterium
Lineage: Bacteria
Description: partial 16S ribosomal RNA
Rfam family: Bacterial small subunit ribosomal RNA
Source: RNAcentral
UACGGGGGGGGGCAAGCGUUGUUCGGAAUUACUGGGCGUAAAGGGCGCGUAGGCGGCUCGCUAAGUCGGGUGUGAAAACUCUGGGCUCAACCCAGAGCCUGCAUUCGAAACUGACGGGCUAGAGUCCGGUAGGGGAGCGUGGAAUUCCUGGUGUAGCGGUGAAAUGCGCAGAUAUCAGGAGGAACACCAGCGGCGAAGGCGGCGCUCUGGGCCGGAACUGACGCUGAGGAGCGAAAGCGUGGGUAGCAAACAGG